This 400-nucleotide ribosomal RNA is filed under the name Halonatospora pansihalos. RNAcentral's name for it is "partial large subunit ribosomal RNA". Lineage: Eukaryota; Fungi; Glomeromycota; Glomeromycetes; Glomerales; Glomeraceae. The record is from RNAcentral.
AAAGUCAAAUAGCACGUGAAAUUGUUGAAAGGGAAACGAUUGAAGUCAGUCGUACCGAUGGGCACUCGGCCUCUCGGGUGGGAUCGUGUCAGAUGUGGGAAGAUCUCACUUUGCCACUGUUCCUGCCUCUGGGGUGUAAUUGUCCGUAUGGUAGGUUAACAUCAAUUUUGGUCGUCAUAAAAUGACGGGAGGAAUGUAGCUUCCUUGGAAGUGUUAUAGCCUCUGGUAGAUGUGAUGAUCGGGAUUGAGGAUUGCAGCGAAUACCCUUCGGGGCUACCCGUCUGGCCUCUGGUCGUCGUCUUGGUGCCGAAAGCGUGCUUAUGGUAUCAAAGUUGAUUGUCAAAAGGUUAGAACGCGAUUACAUUCGUUAAGGAUGUUGACGUAAUGGCUUUAAACGACC